This 1182-nucleotide long non-coding RNA is filed under the name Olea europaea subsp. europaea. Lineage: Eukaryota; Viridiplantae; Streptophyta; Magnoliopsida; Lamiales; Oleaceae. The record is from RNAcentral.
UAAUUGAACCCACCAAGAAUAUUAUAAGUGUCUCGUUCUCCGACGCCGUGAGAUGGUCUAUAAGUAACCCUGUUGCGUUGAGUUGAAAUAUCUUCAAGAGAGUAAGUACUUUUUUUCCUAUAUCUUGAUUAACACUGUUUUUCUUCUUAAUUUUGUAAUCACGUGAAGACCCGUUUGUAGCAAAUGAGAAUACUUUUUUUAGUGUUGAGGAAUCUGUUUGCUGUAGUGAACUAUAGCUUGCUUUGUUCGUGAAUUUUGUAAGUGAUAAGGCGUUGAAAAAUCCGUUUUUGGUUCAUUGGUGAAUUUAAUUUUUUGUACUCUUGUGAUUUUUGAGGUGUUCUAGGAUGUGAGUUUAAAGUUUCUUCAUAUGGGCAGUGCUGCUUUCUUGUUUAUGUCAAUCUGAUGUAUGUUAUUAGUUCAAGAUUUAUGGAUUUGGAAGUUUGAUUUAUAGUGGGAAGUGGAAAUCUGAUACAAUUUCCAGAGGUCUCUAAUUGCUUCACUUACAUGUUAAUCGUGUCUCUCUUUCAAUGAGUCAGAAAGUUGUCGUUUAUUUUUCAUCCUGAAACCCCCUACAAUUAUGAUUCACACGGUUUCAUUUGCAGUCAUCCAGUAGAAUGAGAGGAAGAAAUUUUGGAGUUUGUCAUGGAUGUAGAAGCACCACUCACUAUUUCGAACAAUGCCAAUCAAAACAACGAUGCCCUAGUUGUGACCACGGAUAUCGGAAAUGUUUUGAGGUCGAACGGGAUACCGGUAACAAAGGGCGUUUGUUCUUCACCUGUAGUGAUGACUGUAGAUACUUUGAUUGGGUGAAAGAUGAAACUUUAGGCGAAGAAUUGAGUUCUGUUAAUCGUCCGGUAAAUCAUGCGCCCGACAAGGAAGACGAACAUUUGCCAAGACUUUUUGAUGGACUAGCUAAAAUUAGCGAGAAACGAGGCGUUGACAUAUCACUUACCAUGACUUUCAGCAAGGGAAAAGAAAUUGUCAAAUGUCACGAGCAAGGAAAGGGGUCUGGUUGAAGGGUUUAUUUAUGUAUGUAGUUCAUGAAUUGAUAUCCUUGUUCUCGGGUACAAAUGUGGUAGUUCCACUUUGACAUUGUUUCCCAGCGUAUGUAAUUAGGUGCCUAUGUACUAUGAGCAGUACUCUAAAGAAUUCCAAGUAAUUUUAUUGGUUCAUAACUUGCCA